GAUGAACGCUGGCGGCGUGCCUAAUACAUGCAAGUCGAGCGAACGGACGAGAAGCUUGCUUUUCUGAUGUUAGCGGCGGACGGGUGAGUAACACGUGGAUAACCUACCUAUAAGACUGGGAUAACUUCGGGAAACCGGAGCUAAUACCGGAUAAUAUUUUGAACCGCAUGGUUCAAAAGUGAAAGACGGUCUUGCUGUCACUUAUAGAUGGAUCCCCGCUGCAUUAGCUAGUUGGUAAGGUAACGGCUUACCAAGGCAACGAUGCAUAGCCGACCUGAGAGGGUGAUCGGCCACACUGGAACUGAGACACGGUCCAGACUCCUACGGGAGGCAGCAGUAGGGAAUCUUCCGCAAUGGGCGAAAGCCUGACGGAGCAACGCCGCGUGAGUGAUGAAGGUCUUCGGAUCGUAAAACUCUGUUAUUAGGGAAGAACAUAUGUGUAAGUAACUGUGCACAUCUUGACGGUACCUAAUCAGAAAGCCACGGCUAACUACGUG
Molecule: ribosomal RNA, 497 nt
Filed under: uncultured bacterium
Lineage: Bacteria
Description: partial 16S ribosomal RNA
Rfam family: Bacterial small subunit ribosomal RNA
Source: RNAcentral